This 497-nucleotide ribosomal RNA is filed under the name uncultured bacterium. RNAcentral's name for it is "partial 16S ribosomal RNA". It matches the Rfam family "Bacterial small subunit ribosomal RNA", at positions 28 to 507 of the family's 1533-position model. The record is from RNAcentral.
GAUGAACGCUGGCGGCGUGCUUAAUACAUGCAAGUCGAGCGAACGGACGCUGAGCUUGCUGCGUGCAUGUUAGCGGCAGGCGUGUGUGUAACGCGUGUAUCACCUACCUAUAAUACUGGUAUAACUUGGGGAAACCGGAUCUAAUCGCGUAUAAUAUUUUGAUCCGCAUGGUUCAAUGGUGAAAGACGGUCUUGCUGUCUCGACUCGCUGCAUACGCGCUGCAUUAGCUAGUUGGUAAGGUAACGGCUUACCAAGGCAACGAUGCGUAGCCGACCUGAGAGGGUGAUCGGCGACACUGGAACUGGGACACGGACAAGACGCCUACGAGAGGGAGCAGUAGGGAAUCGUCCGCAAUGGGCGAGAGCCUGACGGAGCAACGCGGCGUGAGUGAUGAAGGUCUUCGGAUCGUAAAACUCUGUUAUUAGGGAAGAACAGAUGUGUAAGUAACUGUGCACAUCGUGACGGUACCUAAUCAGAAAGCAACGGCUAACUACGUG